AUGGUUAGGGAUAUUUUAGGAAUGAAAUGAAAAGUUUAUUUUUUUGGUUGAUAGAAAAAUGACUUAUCCACCUCCUAGGUGGGUAAGGCUUUUCUUCCAAUUAGUGGAUAAAUACUAUCAAUAAAAAAAUAACUUAUCCUUCUAAGGAAGCAAAAGAACAUGGGUAAGUUAGUCAAUGAAAAAUAUGACUAACAUUUCUAUGAUAUUUAUCCACCAA
RNAcentral lists this long non-coding RNA (217 nucleotides) under Elaeis guineensis (African oil palm). RNAcentral describes it as "long non-coding RNA (EGUI_LNC061172)". Lineage: Eukaryota; Viridiplantae; Streptophyta; Magnoliopsida; Arecales; Arecaceae. The record is from RNAcentral.